CAGACCUUGAGCUUGAUCUAUCAUCAUCUGCAUUCGCAGUCCGAUCGAUCGAUGUGUUUGCCUCUUUCUCUCGCCAGUCGCACUGAACCCAGUCCAAAUCGCUCUCUCUCCUCUCGAAUCAACAAAUUUCUCUCGAUCUCCUCGCACAGAAAUACAAAACCAAAAUCUCAAACUUGCUACUGCUCUGUUCAUAGCACUUCAAAUCUCUUCCCUUACACCGGGCUGUGGCACUUUCUUGCCUUGGAGCUUCAAGGCCUCUGGUGGCCUGGCUGGAUGGGCAGCAGCAAGUAAAAGGUGGAGAAAGUUGUUUGCAAUGAGAGCACCUCAAGAAUUUUGAUCUGGGCUUCUAGUUCUGGUUUAAGUUUUUGUUGGAUCUUUUGGAUUGAUUGCUUUUGGUUCAGACAGUUUUGUGAUUGGUGGGUUAUAGUUUGAAAAGAUACUGUAAUCGGUUUUCCAGGUUUCAUGCUUUGUGCAGGAUCACAACUUCUGGACCUUCAUAGAGUGAGUUCAUAUCUACAGAAGAGUAUUUCUGUUUUCAGGUAUCUAUUUGAUUCUCUGACCCUUUUUUCUUUUGGUGCCAAAUGUUGUUUAAUGCAACUGAUUGGGGUUUUUCAGAGUUUGGAUCUCAUUUAACCAGAGUUAUCUUUUUCUUCUUUGUUUCGGAUCUAGCUGUUUGGGAAAAAAUGAUGUAGCUUUGCUGAAUGCUCAUGGUGGAAUGUUCAUUAUGAACUUGGUGUUGAUAAAAAUCCCUACUUUAAGGAAGUAUAGACUAUUGUAUAUUUAA
Long non-coding RNA from Rosa rugosa (rugosa rose), 784 nucleotides. RefSeq lists it as uncharacterized. The record is from RefSeq and is a predicted model, not a curated record. The transcript has 5 exons. NCBI's taxonomy places the organism in Eukaryota, Viridiplantae, Streptophyta, Magnoliopsida, Rosales, Rosaceae.